UACGUAGGUGACAAGCGUUGUCCGGAUUUACUGGGCGUAAAGAGCGCGCAGGCGGUCGUUCAAGUCGAGUGUGAAAGCCCCCGGCUCAACUGGGGAGGGUCACUCGAUACUGAUCGACUCGAAGGCAGGAGAGGGUAGUGGAAUUCCCGGUGUAGUGGUGAAAUGCGUAGAUAUCGGGACGAACACCUGCGGCGAAGGCGGGUUGCUGGGCUGACACUGACGCUGAAGUGCGAAAGCUAGGGGAGCGAACGGG
RNAcentral lists this ribosomal RNA (253 nucleotides) under uncultured bacterium. RNAcentral's name for it is "partial 16S ribosomal RNA". It matches the Rfam family "Bacterial small subunit ribosomal RNA", at positions 524 to 776 of the family's 1533-position model. The record is from RNAcentral.